Molecule: ribosomal RNA, 452 nt
Filed under: uncultured Actinomyces sp.
Lineage: Bacteria; Bacillati; Actinomycetota; Actinomycetes; Actinomycetales; Actinomycetaceae
Description: bacterial SSU rRNA
Rfam family: Bacterial small subunit ribosomal RNA
Source: RNAcentral
GACGAACGCUGGCGGCGUGCUUAACACAUGCAAGUCGAACGCUGAAGCCCAGCUUGCUGGGUGGAUGAGUGGCGAACGGGUGAGUAACACGUGAGUAACCUGCCCCCUUCUUUGGGAUAACGCCCGGAAACGGGUGCUAAUACUGGAUAUUCACUGGCCUUCGCAUGGGGGUUGGUGGAAAGGUUUUUUCUGGUGGGGGAUGGGCUCGCGGCCUAUCAGCUUGUUGGUGGGGUGAUGGCCUACCAAGGCUUUGACGGGUAGCCGGCCUGAGAGGGUGACCGGUCACAUUGGGACUGAGAUACGGCCCAGACUCCUACGGGAGGCAGCAGUGGGGAAUAUUGCACAAUGGGCGAAAGCCUGAUGCAGCGACGCCGCGUGAGGGAUGACGGCCUUCGGGUUGUAAACCUCUUUCGCUCAUGGUCAAGCCGCAGCUUUGGGUUGUGGUGAGGGUA